RNAcentral lists this ribosomal RNA (333 nucleotides) under uncultured bacterium. RNAcentral's name for it is "bacterial SSU rRNA". It matches the Rfam family "Bacterial small subunit ribosomal RNA", at positions 568 to 899 of the family's 1533-position model. The record is from RNAcentral.
CGUGUAGGCGGUUUUUUAAGUCUGAUGUGAAAGCCCCGGGCUCAACCUGGGAAGUGCAUUGGAAACUGGGAGACUUGAAUACGGGAGAGGGUAGUGGAAUUCCUGGUGUAGGAGUGAAAUCCGUAGAUAUCAGGAGGAACACCGGUGGCGAAGGCGGCUGCCUGGACCGAUAUUGACGCUGAGACGCGAAAGCGUGGGUAGCAAACAGGAUUAGAUACCCUGGUAGUCCACGCCGUAAACGAUGAGUACUAGGUGUCGCGGGUAUUGACCCCUGCGGUGCCGCAGCUAACGCAUUAAGUACUCCGCCUGGGAAGUACGGCCGCAAGGCUAAAA